This 505-nucleotide ribosomal RNA is filed under the name uncultured bacterium. Its description in RNAcentral is "partial 16S ribosomal RNA". It matches the Rfam family "Bacterial small subunit ribosomal RNA", at positions 899 to 1397 of the family's 1533-position model. The record is from RNAcentral.
ACUCAAAUGAAUUGACGGGGGCCCGCACAAGCGGUGGAACAUGUGGUUUAAUUCGAUGCAACGCGAAGAACCUUACCUGGGCUUGACAUCUGCAGAACCUUCCAGAGAUGGAGGGGUGCCUUCGGGAACUGCAAGACAGGUGGUGCACGGUUGUCGUCAGCUCGUGUCGUGAGAUGUUGGGUUAAGUCCCGCAACGAGCGCAACCCUCGUGGUCUGUUGAUACAGCUCGCAAGAGUAUGAUCCCUCAGGCCAGACUGCCGGUGAUAAACCGGAGGAAGGUGGGGAUGACGUCAAAUCAUCACGCCCCUUAUGUCCAGGGCUACACACGUGUUACAAUGGGAUGAGGACAAUGGGAUGCUUGGCAGCGAUGCUUGGCAAAUCCCCUAAACCUCCCCUCAGUUCGGAUCGUAGUCUGCAACUCGACUACGUGAAGUCGGAAUCGCUAGUAAACGCAGAUCAGCACGCUGCGUUGAAUACGUUCCCGGGCCUUGUACACACCGCCCGU